GCAACUCGCCUGCACGAAGUCGGAAUUGCUAGUAAUCGUAGGUCAGCAUACUACGGUGAAUACGUUCCCGGGCCUUGUACACACCGCCCGUCAAACCAUGAGAGUUGGCAACACCCGAAGUCGGUAGUCUAACCGCAAGGAGGACGCCGCCGAAGGUGGGGUUGAUGAUUAGGGUUAAGUCGUAACAAGGUACC
Molecule: ribosomal RNA, 194 nt
Filed under: uncultured bacterium
Lineage: Bacteria
Description: partial 16S ribosomal RNA
Rfam family: Bacterial small subunit ribosomal RNA
Source: RNAcentral